UAUAUGAUGGUUCUUUCAUUUGACUUAUAAUUUGAAAGUAUGUUCUUGGUGUUUUGGUGUUCCCUAUUGGUUCUUAAUGAAUAAGUUGACUUUACUGUUGCAUCUGACAAACAUUGUCAUAAUUCUCACUUCAAUUUGACAAGGCAAACACUGAAGCUAGUAGUAAAUCACCAAAUUGCAGGAUACUCAAGUAAUAGGCUCAGGUGUAGACUUGGAGCUCCAAUGAAGAGGAAGAUGAGCAGUACAGAGAAGUCUUAGUGGAUAAUGCAUGGAGAAGUCAAAUAAUAGACAAAGUGAGGAACACUGGAAAGAAGAGGUCAAUGUUCAAAUGAUGUGCAAAAUGCCACACAGAGAGAAAGUAAAGAAGAAAGUGGUCAACAGCUAGCUAUUUUCAGUAGGACACAUGCCACUAAUAAGCUCCAAUGGAGUAUUGCUAAUAUGCAUAUUAUGCAAUUGUGUACAUCUGAUCAUAACAGCACUAUGACAUAAGUACCCUUCUGUAUAGGUGUGCACCUCAAGUCUAGGAAACAAUUACAAGGGAUCUGAAUCAUCUGAUAAUGGAGAUUACUUAUCAGAUUGAUGAUGGUGGCAUUAUCAUCUUUAGUUACAGCCAUGGUCAUUUUGAAAGAAAAGAGAACUUCUCAUGCCAUGAGCGGUAUUGAGUCAAGAGAGAAGAAUCUUGGAAAUGUUAAUGAAUCCAACAUUAACAUAAGGCAGCGUGCAAACAGCCCAAAACCAGGCCUAGAGAAUGUUCAAUCCCAUAAGUAACAUGAUUGAAACAAUGAAUCAUCUGAGAUGACUAUGGAGGGUUGGCUGGGGGCUUCAUAAGUCUCCUUAAAUAAUUCAUUAUGAAGAAAAAUAUUCUUCAUGUUCUUUUGUGAAAAUAUACAAUACCAAGUAGCUCAAACUAUUAUCAUAUUCCAACACCAAUCUUCUUCCUCAAUGCAAGGGUCUUGCAGGAGUCCAUGCCAUAUUUAUGAAACUGAUAGGAACAUGCCUUCCUGGAAGAACGAACCUCAUGUACUAGUUGAAUGGCUGAAACAGAGGCCUCUAGUUUGUUAGGUCUGGAGCCAAAAAAUUGGGGAUUAGAUAUAGUUCACUUUGGCCUCCCAGUUUGAGCUUCAAGGUCCAGUCUUGUUUACAGUCUACCGGCUGGCUGGUGAGACUUGAAUGGAUUGCAUUGUUCAUAUCAUGGAAUUCACUGGUGAAAGUAUCAUUGAGUGUAAUAAUUAGGGUCGGCGGAGCCGUUCCGAACCGGGCGGUUCCGGCCGUCUUGAGCCAUACUAAUGGCUUACUGGUCUAGUUUCGGCAAUGGAAACGAAACCCGUUGCUGGAGCCGGAGAAGGAGAAGGAAAGAGAGAGCUAGCGGAGGAAGGAGGGAGAGAGAGGGGGGGACGCCGGCCUCCAUCGACGUACGCUACCCUCUGUCGGGCUCCCUCCCUCUCUCCCCCUUCUCUCUCUCUCUCUUUUCCUCUAUCCCACGGUUUGUGUGCCGUCUCUUCUGUUGGUACAGGCCUAGCACGGCCUGUACCGACUCAUGCUGUCGGAAAACUAGUAUGGUGCCCAGUACCGGUUCCGCCGACCUUGGUAAUAAUGAUCAAAUUAAUGGCAAUUAGAUGCUACUGAAAGCUUGAUCAUGUACUAUUUUCUGAAAAUAUUUUGAUAGGAGCAAAAAAUCAUGUUGAUACUGUCAAUCUGGAGUUAUUUUGUGUUGGACUGGCUGCAAAUUUGCAAUGAUUUAUUAAUGGAAGAUAAUACAUAGUGUAUGUAAUUAAAGUAGACCAUUACCUCUCAUUUGUAACAUUUAUGGGAAACAGAGUAAUGCAAUACACACAAGAUGGCUCGCUAGCUCUAUAUACAAUACUAUCUUUAAAGCUGCAACGGGUAAGAUAUUCUGGCUUAGACUCAUGUAUUGUUUCUAGUUCAUGGAACAGAAAUUGCAACAAGAAGCUAGAUAUCUUAUUUGUUUUGUGUGGAUUAGCAUCGCCAAUCAAAAGUCAAGAAAAGAUAUGCCAAGUUCCCUAGUCUUUCCCUUUCUUGGUCUCAUAGACCUUCAACAUUUCCCCUUCCAUCUUCUUACCCAAUGGGUUAAUUGGUUUUCCAUCUUUUGUACCAAAAAACAAGAAGCUAUACAGUCAUACUUGUUAAGGAGCUCUAUAUUCUUUCUGCAAGAUUGUUUCUUCCUAACUGGACAUAGGUAUAUGAAAAGUAGUCCCAUAACUCUUCAAACUACUUAAAAUAUCCAAUUAUUUUCAAUUAAGAUUUCAUCAAAGGCCGUUCUCUAUGCCAUCCCAUGUAAUGCACUUCUUCAAAUACCUCAUGGCUGCUAGUAAUUUUUGAUUUUGUGAGAUCUGUUAAAUUGUCUUUUUUGAAAGAUGUCUCUCACUUUUAUCAGGUUCCAGCUUAGUGAUUUUGAUAUGAGAGUUUGGUGGGUUCCCCAAUCCCAAUUUUCUUGUUGUGUACGUAAAUGGUGGAUUUUAAACAAGAUAUGACAGAUUAUUAGUUUUUUAAAAAUGCAAAUAAUUCAUUAAUAUGAUAUCUUAAUGUAGUAUUUCUCAUGUCUGCAUAUUCAUGCUAUUCAAAAUAACAAUGUAGGGACGGCACAUCAAAACCAGAAAUAGCAAUUGUGAAAUGCUCCAAAAUAGAUUAACUUGGUUCCUUAAAACACUUUCAUUUGCAAUCUGCUCACCAAGCUUUUUUCUCCAUCUUUGAAGAGACUUGGGCUUUUGUCUAUGCUAAAGAACAACAACCACAUUAAAGAUGGCUUCUUAAAUAUAUGAUUACAAAAUAGUUUUUGAGAGUCAAAUACUAAGAUUUGCAUAUUAAUGGUUUGUGUGGUUCUCUUUUGUUAGAAAUACUAGCUAAAUCUCUUGUAGCAUCUAAGCAAUGGUCUUACUGUGAUAACUAUAAGAUAUUAAUUCUUUGGAGCUUUAUAUUGAUGGCAUCCUGUGUGAUGGCAUCCUGUGUUAUGGCAUGCUAUAUACCUAUAUUAAUUAAUUUAUUUUAAAUUCACUGUAGUGAUAUUACUCACAGGUUAUAUUCCAUAUAAUACCAAUUUUUGUAUUUGUGGAGCAUCUGCAUUGACUAUCUAUUGACUUUUAGGUUUCAGUCUCCUAGUAUAUCAACUAUUUCUAUAUCCUUCACUCGUGAAAUUACUUGGACCCAUCAUAUCAUCCAGAGUCGCAUCAGUAAGCAUUCAAUGUUAUCUCUUUACAUUAAGCAUUCAGUAUUAUCUCUUUACAUUCCUUAAUUUUACAUUUGAUUUUUGGGCCUUUUCCAUAAUAUUUCAUGUUUUUGCUUUGCAGGUCUUAUCUAUACCUUUGCUUGCUGCUUUUCCCUUUAUGACAAAACUGUCAGGACUUAGACUUUCACUGAUAGCGAAUUGUGCAUCGUUGCUGAAGAACAUUCUUUGUGUAAGUACAUCUGGGAUUGCAAUAUACAGAAAACAUGUGUAUGGUUGAUACGAAGUGAUUAUAAAUAUGUUUUGAAUUUACCAAGUCCAUGUUUUCGAGCAUGUUCUCUUCUAAAGAUAUAUUACAUGGAUGGUAACUUCUAAUGGACAAAUAGGAUGUUGAUAAUAGAAAAUUGUCUCGCAUGCUCAGUGGCAAAUAUGAUAAUAGAGAAGAAUGAAUGAUGCUUAUCAAAGAAAGAACAAAUUAAGCUUGAUUGAAGAAAGAACAAGUUAAGCUUGCCUGUUAAAGCAAAUGGAAAGGAGAAAUUUGACAAAAGAUAUGGUUAAUGACAGUGAAAUUCUUCUGAGGUCUACCUCAAGAAGAGAUAGAGAAGUCACCAGAGAGCCAUUUUCAAAUUUUGAAGUUACUCAUCAUUAUCUAGCUCUCUUCGUGCUGAAAGUGAAAAUCCUUGUACUUGAUAUAAAAGAACCUGGAAGUUCUUUAUUCGGAUUUCAGUUGCAGGCCUCCCUGCCUAUAGCUUUUGCUUCCUAUUUAAUAUCUAAGACCUUACAAUUUUCAAAUUUUCCCCCCAAAACCUUAUAAAACUCAAUGCCUCUUGUUUAGUCUCUGUUAUUCUUUUUAUGUAUAUUUUACUCUUUCCAAUGGUUUCUAUUUCUGCAUUUUCUUUUUGUUCCUCUUUCAGUACUUGAAGGCAAAUUAUAUCAGCCUUUAAACCAAGAUACUUUUGUUAGGCUCCUAUCCUUUGGAGUUUAUAAGCUUUUAUUAAAAAAUCAAUUAAUUAAUCCAAGAUUAUGUACAUUUUUAAGUGGAAAACAUAGAAGAACAAAUGAAGUAAGUGAAUCAUUUAAUGCAGUUUAACUUGUUUAUGUUGUCAUAUUCCAACCUUGGCAGGGCUGUGUACUUGUAAAUGAUUUUCUCAUACACUCAGUAGGACAAAACACUAGUGAAAAGCGGUUCUUAGAAUUGAGGCUUUUCAAUGUAUCAGAGGGUGGUAUUUCUAAGUCAAGAUGAGGGAUUGGAUGGUAUAAGAUUUAUUGUUGAGGGCCUUUCAUGACAUACAUGAGUGUGAAGCAAUGAACCAAGGUUUGCUACAGGCGAGUUGACAUACAUGAAUGUGAAGUGAUCAACCAAGGUUUGCUAUAGGAGAGGGUGCCUAAACUGGGUUUGUGAUAGAUCAUAGAUGGUGUAUGAUUCAUUAGGCAUAGGUGAAAGGCAGCUGGUGAAUUUUAGUUCAUAAAGCUGAGACUUGCUAUGCUAGAGAUGGAAGGUUAAAUUGAUUUGUUUAAGUCUAGAUGGAGAAGAUUGGAUAGGGAUGAUUUGUGUAAGCUGUAUUGUUUGGAGUUAGAGAUUUAGCCUUGGCGCAAUGGUAAAGUUGCUCCAUUAUAAUCUGGAGGUCAUGGGUUUGAAAUAUGUAGACAACCUCCUCACAUGCGGGGUAAGGUUGCAUACAUUUGACCCUUCCCAGACUCCGCAAUGGUCAGAGCCUCAUACACUAGGCCACACUUUUAUGUGAUGGCUAUGAUACUCUUAAGUUGAUCCAUGGACUCCUGAUAAUUUUAGCUUCUUAUAAGACAUGAGAUACAAAGGCAUGCAGUCUGGAGUAUGCAUUAUUAUUCUAAAGAUGUAUGGUUUGGGAUCAUGUAUGAUGCUUUUCAUCCAAGAAAGAGACAGGAGGAUAGGCGACAAUGAGAGAGAAUAGGGUUCGCCAAACUAGUACCGGAGGUUGUACUACCUUGCUACUAGUUUGGUGCAGUAUGUUGUAUCGAGCCGAGGUGUAUCGGAGAUGAAAGAUUGGAAAAAGAGAAGGGGAGAGAGGAAGAAACCUAACCCUAACCCUAGAAGUAGGUGAACCAGGGGGAGAGAGAGAAGACGAAGUGGAGAAAGAGGGAGAGGGAGAGGGAGAGGGAGGGGGAGGGAGAGAGACAGAUGUACCGAUUUGAAUGCUUGGAUGGGGACGACAUUAGUGUCGAUGUUGAUCGAGGGUGAUGGCAUCGACAUGUGUAUCCACUAAGGAUGACAGCAUCGAUGCUUGCAUCAAUCAGUUGUGACAGUGUUGGUGUUGGCAUCAAUCAAGGGCAAUGGUGUUGGCGUCAAUUGAGGGUGACAGUGUCGGCGUCAAUGGCGAUGACAUUGGCAUCAUUAUCAAUCAAGGGGAUGGCAUCAACAUUAGCAUUGAUAGAGGAUGAUGGCAUCAACAUCGGCAUCACUCAAGGGCAUCGAUGUUAGCUAGGCUUCAAAGAAGAGGGGGAAGAGAGAGAAGACAAAGGGGAGAGGGAGAGGGAGAGGCAUGAGAGGGAGGAGAGGGAGGAAGGGAGAGAGAGACAUACCGGUUCGAAUGCCCGAUGAGGGAUGACAUUGGCAUCAAUUGAGGGCAUUGGCAUCAACGUCAGUGUCAGCAUCGACUGAGAGUAACCACAUGUCAAUUGAGGGAGAUGGCUUCAGCAUUAGCAUUGAUCGAGGGUGGUGGUGUUAGCAUCAGCAUCGGCAUUGAUCAAGGAUGAUUGCGUUGGCUAGGGUUCAAAGAAGAGGAUGGAGAGAGUAAAAGAGAGAUCGAAGUUGAAGUUAAAAACGAUCCAUUGGAGGAGGGUCAGGGGGUAAGGGAUUUUAUAUUAAUGUGCCGGAUCGUUUUGUUUAAUUGAACUAUCCUGAUUCCUAACCGCUUUGGUAUGAUCUGAACCGCUUGGUUCAAGAUGGUUCGGCAUACUCGAGAAUAUUAGGUUCUUUGUCUCUGAUAAUUAGGUUUUAUCUUGGUGUGCGCGACUUUAGUGAUGGGUUGUUUUUACUGUGAGAAGGGACUAGGUUACUUUGGAUGAGUACUCAGGAGCAUGCAGGGGUCUACAAUGAUAGUUUAUGCUUUUGUGACUUUGUCCCUUCACAUGCUCUUUUAAAUUAUGAAGUUUAGCAUGGGUUUGAGGUCUUCUUAUUGUGCAUAUGUAGGGAAAAACUUGUUUGGCUAAUUUUGAAAAUGUGGUAGCACAUCACAUGGGCGUGAAAUAGACUUUGUGUUAUGAAGCUUCCAUAUGAAAGGCUUCAUGUUGGUAGAAAGUGGAUUCACAUCAAACUCAAGCCCUAAAAUGAUAUUUCUGAGAUGCCACCAUUUUAGUGGAUUCUGGUGGUUCACAUCUAGGACCAGAUCAAUGAAAUAGAAACUUUUUUCUAGUUAAGUUAAUACUAGUGGAUUCUGGCGGGCUUUCUCAAAUUGUCUUGGACAAUCUGAUUUGUGAAGAUAUCUGGAUAUGAAACUUUAAGUUGUGUGUUGGUUUGGGCUGCUAAUUUCUAAGAUUCAGUCUAAGGGGUUUGUCAAAUAGUGAGGCCUAAAACCGAAAAUCAUGCUAAUAUCUCAAUUUUAUCUAGUGGUUUUGAUAGUAAUUGUUGAUUGAUGGACAGUAGAAGUGCCUUUAUGUUGAUCUGGAACCAUGUUGCACAGAACCUAGGAUAUAUAAUUAAUUGGUCAUAUUGGUCUAUCAUUGAUGGGUAAAGUCUCAAUAAAGUUGGUCAAUGGGUUUCCAUUUCUUUAGCCAUCAUCUCUUUCUGUCAAACCUCCACCAUUUUAACUUUUGUAUUUCACUAUCCAUGGUAUCCUUAAGCAUUUUUUUGCUCGUGCCUAUCUGGUUUGCUUAAUAGACCUUCAGAAUGUCUUGGUGUUGAACUUUUGUCAUGAUUUAUGUGUUAUUGCCCUCAUUUUGCCUUCUUACUUUAUUACCUCUCAGAGUAUGGAUGUUUGAGAAUCCAACUCAGCUGACAAUCUCGCACUCACAGACAUGUGUUGACUGGUCAAUUUGUUUUUUUGGAUGGACUCUUUGAGUCCAGACAACACUAACUCAAUGAGUCCUGUUGACACAUAGAAAAGAAACUAUUCUGCACAGUAAAAAGUAAAUUUUACUAAUGUACCAAAAAAAGGUACAUUUUAUUCCAAUAUCAUCUCAUUCUUCUGUGCAUUAUAUUUAAGCCUAGAUUACAAUAAGCUUUUCAGGAAUAUGAUGCAGUAGGGCAGAAUUUUUUGGUUUCUUCCUCUAUGUUAAUCAAUUUACUUAUAAUUGGUGUUCUCUAUAAUAGUUUUUGUUUAUUUGUACAGGUGGAAUAUAAUAUGACUGAUCCUAUAUGUCCUGGGCCAAAUAUUCAAAAUUUAACCUUGAUGACAAUGCAGUUUUAAACUCAAUAUCAUUUUACCUCUCGAAGUGCAUUUGCUAUCAGCAUCGAAUGCAUGUAACUUUUACUUGAAUCUUUAUUGGCUGCAUGCAUACGUUUGUUUCACAACUCUAUUACUCCUUACAAAUUGCUUUGUUAUGGAUAUCUAAUCGCACAACAGUCCCAUAAUAUAAGUUGGAUUAAUGUCUCUGAUAUGCAUUUCUUUUUUUAAUGUGAUCAGGUAACUAUCAUCACUGGGUUGUUCAUUUUGCAAAACAAUGCUGUGGUAAUUUUCUAUUAAUUUUGAUGCACUUCAGUAGCAUUAUUUAUUUUAUCUUUUUUCCUCGUAAUUUUGGAAAAACCCAAAUGAGCAAGCCACUAUAACUGAUUAACUUCUAUUAUUAAGACUAAUUUCUUAAUAAAUAUUCACUAACACUAGUUAUGUCACCUUUAUACCAAUAUAUUUACAGCCUCAACACCAAAGAGGAGCUGCAAAUGGAAUUGCUAUGACUGGAAUGUCCCUAUUCAAAGCAGCUGCUCCGGCAGGUGGAGGCAUCCUGUAAGUGUUCUUUGUUCCUUAAUUGUACUGGGAAAUACCACUAAUAUACAUGUGCAAACUGUUGAUGAGGCAUGGCUUAACUAUUCAUCCCAUUUUUAUAUCCUAGUGCUUUUGAGCCUUGCAAAUCUACAAUUGUUUUUCUGAACUUCAUAUAAAAAGAAAUAUUAUCAACAUUCUACUUGGUCCCUAAUCUACUGGUAAUUUGAUAUUACGACAUCACUUUGAUGCGGCCAUUAUUAUUGAAGAGUGAUCUGUAACUGGUUUGGGAGUUUUCUUUCUCCCCUUUUUUUUGUGUUGGGGUUUUGGUGGGUGGGUCGGGGUGGGGUGUGGGGUGGGGCGCAGUUUUGCAUUAUAUCUGAUGGAUUUGGGUCAUCUGACGAUAGCCAGGAUGUGCUAUUCUGGGUUCAACAUAAAGGCUAAGAUAUCUGCUCUUGCUACCUUUUGGAUAUAAUCAUGAUCUGCACUUCAGUAGUGAAUGCUAUCUAAUUUUGUCAUACUUAAAUUGUAAAAAAGAUUUAAAUGAUUUCAAAUAAUACACUAGAAAAGUGAUACUUCCUCCAUCGAUCUGGAUGUAUGAAUAAUAGUGGUUUCAGCAAGCCUGGUGGCUGCACCCCUCCUCCACAUGGUAUGAGAUUCUGGGUUAAAAUCUCAUCUUGUUAUUUCAUUCAAUUGUAAUAUAUGGUGCUCUUACCGUUAUUCUGGCAGCCAAAAAAUGGUUUGAGGCCUAUGACUUAGUUUGUCUAUGAUAUUAGUUCCGCAUCUUGAAGCCAAAUAAAUAUAAUUUAAAAUAUUGCUCUUUUCUUCUUUUUCCUUUUCUAGUGUGCCUGUGCAUGUUGGUGUCUGAGAGAGACAGAGAGAAACACACACACAGAGAGAGAGAGAGAGAGAGAUCACCUUUUUCUGAUCAAUUAUCUGUAUUUGCAGAUUUUCAUGGGCACAAAAGCGCCAAUCUGCUUCUUUCCUCCCAGGUAAUUUAAUCUUAACUAAGAAGCUUGCAGGGUAGUUUUCUUUUGAUAACAAUUUCAGUUGUAUUAAGAAGAGAGUUAAAUUAUAUUAUAUCUAUUAGGAUGACACAAUGACUGCAGCAUCUUUAUUUAUUGAUGUUAAUCCGGAGCCAGGAUCUUAUGGUAUUCUUAUGUGAAGCUUCAGCUUUAAUUUUCUCUCUAAGUAGAUUGGUUUUAACAACAAGGUUUAAAAAUUUGGUCUCGAUGUUGGUAUGAGUUCAAAAUAAACAUUUUGGCAAUUUCGAUACUUAUGUUGAUGAUACUACUAAAGAAGUAAUGGUAAAUAUAUAUAAAAAUAACUAAAUCAUCAACAGUUCAAGAAAUGGGAAGAAACACUAGUAAAACAUGUUAGUCAUCAUUUUACAAUAUAAAUUCUUUUCAAUGGCUCAUAAAAUUGACUAAAUAAAUAACUUUAGAAGAAGUAGAGCAUAUUCCAAAUUUAAUAGAUUAGAAUAUUUUGAACUGUAAUAUAUUAUUUGUUGAGAUUCUUAUAAACCAUAUAUGUUAAAGUAACAUAUAUUAUCUGCAUAAAAUGCAUUUUUAUUUUUACAUGAAAUCUGAUAUACUUCCUAUCCAUAUUGAUUUCAAGAAAUUAUUUCUCUAAUAUACAAUAAUUUCUUCCUAGAUUUGUGGUUCGAAGACAUGCAAUAUCUUUCUCGCUUGUGUGAAUUUUAAAUGUUUCACGCCACUGAAAGUUAUCAUAAAAAAUUAUAAUUAAAUUAUUAUUUCCUUUUACAUAACCAUAUUCUAUAAUUCAGGGGAUUUCGUGUAAUAUAAUUAAGGUUUAAGAUAUAGGCUACCUGUAUACAUUUGACUACCGCCAAAACUAACCAAAACUGUCUAAUCUUGAAAAUUGCUUCCCAAAAGCAGGAUUUAUCAUGAUGAACUCAAAAAAAAGGAAUAGAAACAAAAAAAAGGUACAGUAAACCCAUUCACAUAUAUAUGUGGAGCCAUGUGUAUGUAAAAUAUAAACACACCUCAAAAACACGUCUCCUUGUCUAAAUUUAUUAAUAUGCUUUUGUAUAUUUAUUCUUUUUUUGUUCAAAAACUCAGUAAGCAAAAUCCAUUAUACUAUGCUAUCUCCAGGCUGCAGAUUUUAUGUUGGCCCUCAUUUUCAUUCUUAUUUGCUCUAGAAUUGAACUCCUGAUAUCCUCUUGUUUUAACUUUAUUGAUCUAUUAGGCCUGAUCCUCCAAGUCUUCCCCGACUAUUCCAAUUUAGCAUUAAACAGUAUCUUCAAUAUGCCCUCUUUUAUAUCUGAGCAAGUUUAAUUAGGACAAGUGUAAAAAGAUAUCAACAAAAUGCUGACCAUUAAUUUCACUCAUCGUAAUUGGAAUUUCAGUUCUCUCGCCUCUAACUAUAUUUGAUGCUUCCCUUGCUCCAUCAUGUAUGUCCUUAACAGUUUCAGUAUACAUUUUAGGUACAUUUUUAUAGUCUAAUUCCUUAACCCCAUCAAAUCACAUCUUAUCAUGCUCGUACACUUUCUCCAUGUUGUGAAGACUAUUUAGAAUCUCUUUGCUUGAAAGUUUCGCAACAAGUGCUUUUGUAAGAAAACAACCUCCGCUUUGACCUUUUAGUGGCAAAGAUCUAGACUGGUUAUCUCUCCUGUAAUUUCAUACUGUGUGGCUCAUAGUCAUAAAGGAAGUUUGGAAAUAGUUGCUGUGCUUCCAUAUCACCAUACUUUUUUCAAUUAUUUGGAACUUAUCGGAUAUUCUAAAUCUCAUUAAAUCAGCAAGUUAACCAAAUUAACUCAAUCACUUCCUGAUUUUGUUGAACCUCUAUUGGUAUCAUCAAACCCAUCUCCUAUAUUGCUCUAAAUUAAUCUUUGACCAUAUGAAGGUUAGAAGAACUAAUGUCCAUUUCAUAUGAAAAUUAACAGUAUGUGAGUUCAACCUAGAUCUUUUCAAUCUCUCUAAAAUCAAGUAUGGAGCCAUGUUUGGUUAUUACUCCACCUUAUAUGUAGAUGGUCAAAACAACGGUAUUCUUUUUUGUGAGAAACCCAACCUCCAACUACCAAUCUACUCAUUCUAACGAAGAGAAUUUUCAGUAGAUCCUAUUUUUGCUAUGCUUUUAGGGUUCUUUCCCUCUAAGAAUUCAUUGUGUGGGAAGUAAUUAGGACUUAUUCAGAUAACCUGAGAUCAAAUAUUUGAAAAAUGGAAGAGAUUCAGAAUCAAAUGACCCGUAUUAUGUGCUAUUGGCUAGGAGUGAAAUUAAAAAUUAUUUAUUACUCUAAGAAACAGGUAGCUCAAAAUAGACUGUUCAAAAGACAUAAAUAAGAAAAUUAUACAAAUUUCCCUGGGGAAGAAAAUUAUACUAACUUCUGCGAGGAACGGUACGUAGGAACUGAUAUUGUUUAUGACUAGCAUGAUUCACAUUAAUUAGUGUGUAAUCAUUACUACAUGGCCAUUUUUUCACAAAAUAAGUGCAUUUGUUUGUGCGUGUUGGAAUUAUCUCCUGAUGGAUUGUACUUCAAGGAACUCUCAUACGGAAAUUCUUACAUGCACUAAUGUCCUCGGCUAGACAAGGGACUGACCCAAUGAUCUCCCAAUAGAUUUCCUCCUACCACUUUAUUAAUUCAGUUCUGCAAUAAAUGGAUUACAUGUAUGUUCCUUCUCAGAUUUUUAUCCAAUGAUUCAUUCUUCAAUUGUGGUGAUGUUUGUUGUUAUCCAGGUGAUCAGAUGGUUUUCUUCAUUUUAAAUGUGGUCGAGUUCAUUGGACUCCUGAUGACCUUCAAGCCCUUUUUAGCUGUACCCAACAAGUAGAACACAACAAUUAUAGUGUAUUCUUGAGACUGGAGCCUGGGCAAAAAAAUGGAGUCUGACAUGAUGGCGCACAUGAAGCAGGGUAGGAGCAUGCCUUGUGCUCCUGAUCAGCGCUGUGGCGCAUUCAUGAGCGAAUAUGAUGACAUGAUCCAGUAUCAUGAUAAUUAAUUUAUUAAUGUUAUCUGCUGCAUAGCAGCUGAGAUUGGCUGUUAUUAGACAGGUAAUAGAAAGCACGGCGAUAGCUUAGCUCUCAAUGGCCUUUUUUGUCUCCCAAAGAAGGUGAAGCUAAUGUUGUUUCAGUUUGAUAUUAACUUAAUCAUCAUCAAAAUCGACGUAAUUAUUAUUGUUUUCAUGCCUUUUACUGUUAUCAACUUCAGGGGAUGAAGACUUUAGACCAGGUAAUUAUGACUUAAGACAUGAAAGCAAUGCAUUAUCGGCCAUCAACUUAAUUAGAACCUAAGAUACUGAUGAAAAUUGAUUUAUAACUAGAAGAGCUUGCAAAAGAAAAGUCCUCUCCAAGUAUUUAUCCUUGUAUAAAGGUAAGAAAUAUCUUUAGCUUCUUAGGCAUAAAAAGACUAGAACUGGCCUUUUUUGAAAGUAUGAUGCCAACAGGCACCUGAAGCCAUUUUUUCCCUUUUUUUUUGCUGCAAAAAAAAUAUUGUCGCCUAUUAGCACAAUCAUCUAACCUAGACUGUAGAAGAACUGAAAUUUUAAAUCAACAGGAGGAAAUCUAGGAGCAAAGACAGCAUAUGCCAACCAAGCAUGUAUUCUCCCAUGAUACUUAGGCUACUUUGGCAUACAAGAUGUACUUCAUAAUAUUAACCCUUCUUUUCAGUUACAAAUCACCUCGCAAGCAGAUCCUGGUUGCUUUCUGGUACUUUACCCAUUNNNNNNNNNNNNNNNNNNNNNNNNNNNNNNNNNNNNNNNNNNNNNNNNNNNNNNNNNNNNNNNNNNNNNNNNNNNNNNNNNNNNNNNNNNNNNNNNNNNNNNNNNNNNNNNNNNNNNNNNNNNNNNNNNNNNNNNNNNNNNNNNNNNNNNNNNNNNNNNNNNNNNNNNNNNNNNNNNNNNNNNNNNNNNNNNNNNNNNNNNNNNNNNNNNNNNNNNNNNNNNNNNNNNNNNNNNNNNNNNNNNNNNNNNNNNNNNNNNNNNNNNNNNNNNNNNNNNNNNNNNNNNNNNNNNNNNNNNNNNNNNNNNNNNNNNNNNNNNNNNNNNNNNNNNNNNNNNNNNNNNNNNNNNNNNNNNNNNNNNNNNNNNNNNNNNNNNNNNNNNNNNNNNNNNNNNNNNNNNNNNNNNNNNNNNNNNNNNNNNNNNNNNNNNNNNNNNNNNNNNNNNNNNNNNNNNNNNNNNNNNNNNNNNNNNNNNNNNNNNNNNNNNNNNNNNNNNNNNNNNNNNNNNNNNNNNNNNNNNNNNNNNNNNNNNNNNNNNNNNNNNNNNNNNNNNNNNNNNNNNNNNNNNNNNNNNNNNNNNNNNNNNNNNNNNNNNNNNNNNNNNNNNNNNNNNNNNNNNNNNNNNNNNNNNNNNNNNNNNNNNNNNNNNNNNNNNNNNNNNNNNNNNNNNNNNNNNNNNNNNNNNNNNNNNNNNNNNNNNNNNNNNNNNNNNNNNNNNNNNNNNNNNNNNNNNNNNNNNNNNNNNNNNNNNNNNNNNNNNNNNNNNNNNNNNNNNNNNNNNNNNNNNNNNNNNNNNNNNNNNNNNNNNNNNNNNNNNNNNNNNNNNNNCACAAUAUAUAAUUGAGAACUAUAUUAGCAUAUUGGUAAAGUCUACCUGAAUCUUUUGGCCAACAUAUUCCAACCGCUCCAGACAAAAUCGCGGGUGCUCAAAUUUGUACUUGGAGGGAUGCAUAAAGCACAACUGCCAUGAUUUGAAAAGAUGUCAUCUGGUAAGGCUUAACAAAAGCAAGAAUGGACAACAGGCUUAACAAAAGCAAGAAUGGACAACAUUCCAAUAUUACAUAGCACAGACUGGCAUGUUCUUUUUCAUCCCCCUUUACUGCAUAUUACCAUCAGUCCAUCACCCUCUUUUCCAGCCUACAGGCUAUUGACUACCAUCAUAACAGUCUUUUUUGUACCCUCCUAAGUCCUAGUUGACUCUUGGAAGUCCACCUUCAAUAAGUUUUUUCUCCUCUUCAAGAGGUUGAUUCCCAUUAAUCCAACUUCUAUAUAUUGAUAGUCUUGCCUCUAAUGCCGAUAGGGGUUAUCCCCACAAUGUAGAACCCCGAGAGCUGCAUGACCAUAAUGAAGAUGUGAUGAAAGGCAUUCGGGUUGAAGCCCCUACUUUUGAUGGCCGCCUUGACCCAAAGGUCUUUUCAGGCUGGUUGCACGAAAUGGACCACUUCUUUGAGUGGUAUAAUUUGUCUGAAGAAAAGAAGGUCUGGUUUGCCAGAAUGAAGCUCAUUGAUGGAACUAAGUUUUUCUGGCAAAAUAUUGAACAACUCCUGGCUAGGAGACGUCAACCUGCUAUAACUGACAGGAUAGAAAUGAAAGAAAAACUUAAGAAAAAAUACCUGCCUAUUAGCUACCAAGAUGAUCUCCUUGACUGAUGGAACAACUUGAGACAAGAUACCCGAUCAACCACUGACUACAUUACCCAAUUCAAUGAAUACAUGAUGCGAUGUAAUGUGAUUGAGGAUGAGAGAAUGGUCCUGAGUCGGUUCCGUAGAGGUCUCAAUGAUGAACUUGGAAAGAACUUGUCCUCCGAGAGGUGUCCAUGUUAGACCAGGCCUAUAUAUUUGUAUUGAACUAUGAGCAGGUCUCCAAGUCCAUGUUUGUGAGGCACCCUAACAUUCGGGGUGCAUCCACAAAUCUUGAUUCUUCAGGGCCCAAACCUUCUGUAGGAUCCUCUACCCCUAGACCCCCUCCUACUGCCCCUGUCUCAAGCCCAGACACUAAAAGCAAGGAAAUUCUUGGUGAGCCUCCCAAACCGCAUUCCAAAAUUCAGUGCUACAAAUGCCAAAGUUUUGGUCACGUUGCCUGCCAAUGUGCUAACAAAUCUCUUGUUAUUGCUUAGCAAGAGCAGGAAAGUGACACAGAUGACCUGGAGGAGCAAAUCUAUGAACCGAAUCUCGAUGACUUUCCAAAAAUUGAGGAAGAGUGUGAUGAGGAACCUAAAAUCCUACGGUGCACCCGUACUACACCUAUUUCGCUUGCACAGUCGAAAGGAGAGUCUGACCAGUCCAUCAUGAGUGUAGUUAGAUAUGCCCUCGCACAACCCAACGAAACUGAUGACUGGAGAAAAACCUCAAUUUUCCAUACUUAUAUUAAGUGCAGAGAGAAAGAUUGUAAGGUCGUCAUCGAUAGAGGGAGCAGUAUUAAUGCAAUAUCGUCCAACAUCGUCUUCUGCUUAGGUUUGGCUCCCGUUCCCCAACCACAACCCUAUAAGGUCUCUUAGAUUGACACAACUUCUAUUUACAUCAAAGAGAGAUGUCUUGUGCCCUACAUCCUUUCUUACAAAGACACCAUAUGGUGUGACGUAGUCCUAAUGGAUGUAGAACAUCUAAUUUAGGGAGAUCCUAGUUGUUCGACCUUAAUGUUACCAUCUUUGGUCGAUCCAAAUUUUGUUCUUUUGUAAUCGAGGGCAAAAAGAUUAAGCUCAAUCCUUUGCCGCCCAAGCCACCUGAUAAGAAUAAGAGAAGUGAAGUAUCAACGGACAAAGAUCUCCACAUCCUGUGUCUGCUAAAUUUGAGCUGGAAGUAUUUAACGAAUCUUUAGUGCCCACUCUAUUUGUCCAAGAAGUUUACCCCCAUAAUUCAGUCACCAGGUCCAUAAGCAUGACUCCAUUUGAGAUAGUACAUGGUUACAAAGCUAGGAAACCUCCAAAUCUCUUACCCAUGUCAUCCAAUGUUAGAAUUUUUGAGUCUGCACAUGCAUUUGCACAACACAUUCAUGAGUUGUAUUAGAAAAUCCACAAGCACAUUCAUGCACAUAAUGCUCAAUAUAAGAUGCAAACUGAUUCCUAUGUUAAAGAAUUUCAAACUGGAAAUUAUGUAAUGACCUGUAUUCGAUCUGAGUUUCUUCUUCCUGAAACCGUUAAGAAAUUGCAGGCUCAUACUGUUGGGCCAUUCAGGGUGUUGCACAUAGUUGGCACUACUGCUUAUGAUAUUGGCCUCCCAUUUAAUUUUGGUAUUAGCCCAACCUUUAAUAUUGAAGAUUUAGUUGCUUACAAGGGCCCACCAACAAUCCCCAAUGACUCUUUUGUUGAGCCAUCUCCUGCACUUGAUGAUUCUCUUAUUAUUGAUCCUAUACCAGCUUCGAUUUAUUUACCCCUCCACGAAGCACAACAAAAGCACAUUGAUGUUAUUUUAGACGAUCAAACAGUUUUUACCAGUGAUGGAUGUAUCUAACACUUUUUGGUUCAUUGGCGAGGAUGACUAGUAUCCGAUUCCACUUAGAUCAUGCGCGAGGAGUUUCUGCGGAUUGACCCGGAUCUAUUGGAAUACUACCAAAGCUACACCGUGCCGCGUUCGUCGAGGUCGACUUCUUCCCACCCAGGAGAGUUGGUGCGGACACCAGUACCAGACUGCCUGUUAUGCGGGGCCACGGUCGUAGCACGAGGAUGGUCCAACCACUUUCGUUGUGGCUGGAUUGAUUUUAUGUUAUUUUAUUUUGUUUUAUUUUAUAUUGAUUGGGCUUGUUUGCAUAUUGUUAUUUUAAGGCCUUUAUGAGAUUAUUUUCUUUGUAGGGGUUUUUUUCUUAUUUCUCAACCCUAUAUAUAUAUAUAUAUGGGUCCAUGCACUUGUUUGGGAUUAUUAAAUGAUUGAAUGUAAAAUAGCCUUCUUUUUUCUGAAACCCUAGUGUGAAGCUGCGGCCAGAGCCAAGUGAGAAGCAUGGAUCUUUUUCUUUCCCCUUCUCUUCUUUUCUUCCUCCUUCUUCCCUCUCCUCCCUGCAGUUGUCCUACAUCACCGGUGUAAGUUCAUUAGUUAACAAAAAUAUAUCUUUUUCAAUAUUUUAAUUUUAUUUUAAUAAAUUAUUAUUUUAUAAUAUUUUUAUAAAAUAAUAAUAUAGUAAUGUUUAGGUAAAUUAUUUUCGACAGCAUCAAUCUCUAGCUUCAAUCCCUUCUUAUCAUUUUCGAAUACAAUGAUGACGACAACAUUGACGGCUUUGCAGUUCAAUCAACAAUCGGGGGCAUCCAAACGCAUCGUAUCACCCACCAACCAUGAAUUUUUUGGGAGGAUUGGUGGGCAAAAAACAAAAAGGCAGAUGGGAUGGAGGACUAAUACGUAACCUACAGUUGAUUUCUCAUUGACAAUAUGAUCCAUAUGAAGGACUAAUCAAUGUUCAAGUUUUUAAUGUCAUUUCUUUGUUGUCCUAUAACUGCAAGGGCGCAGUCCCCGUGCCAAAUUUGGCAUGGCCCAUGGCCUGAGAAAAUUUGUAGAGUAAAAGUCAAAGAUGGCAUUUAGUUGUCCAAAUAGGAUCUGUGACCUUAGAUUCUCGUCUUAGAGUAAUUUAAUAUCGUGUUUCACAUGCUAUAUAUUUCAGUGAUUAAAAUUUUCUAAAUAUUUAUGAUUAACUUAUUUAGUGUGCCACGUAAUAUCAAAACUAUCCAAACAUAUUCUAUACAUUUUGUAAUUAUUAAAUGUAAUUCUCAAAUAAAUCAUAGCAAAGUAUAUAUGAAUACAAAUGAAAUUAUCAAAAUCUGUUUUUCUGGAUCAAUUCAACAUGAUCAAAAAUUAAUCAAAAUUGUUAAACUAAUAUCAGAAGAUUAUCAAAUUUUUCCUACUAGAAGAAUUUUUUUAUGGGAUUGUCAUACCCUUCCUAGCUAGAAAAGUUUGUUUUUUCCAUAGAUCAAUAUUUGGAAAAAAAUAUUUUUAUUAGAUUGAGAGGCAUUUUUAUUCUUAAAAUUCCAACGUCGCUAUCUUGGGGUGAUUUUGAAAAUAUUCUUAAAAAUGGAUUUAACAUCAUUGGAUUGGAUAAUAAUUUUAGAAUUGAGAAUAAUUUGGAAUGACUGCCACAUAGGAUUAAUAUAGUACAACUAAAUACAAUAAUUAUGUUGUCUUUAUCGGUAUCACUAUUGAUCUUAGUACUAUCAUUCUAUACCAAACACCAUCAAAAACAUAAAUAAAUCCAAACACUUGGACAAAGUUAAAGAACACCUUCUUUUGUCAGCACGACAUGAGUUUGUCCUCCAAGUUGAUCACGCAUACUAAUAAAAAUAUAAAACAUUAAUUGUUGCUUAAAUGUUUUUCAUAAAUCAUUAAUUAUUACUUAAAUGUUUCUUUUCCUUGAGGCAUCUUGUGCCCGUUGGCUCGAGUAAUAUAUUCAUGGUAGGGCUGCUGCUUUUAGCCUCUUGGUUAGUUGGUUAUCAGCAUCUUAACAGCAGAAUACGUCAAAAAAAAAAAGUUGAGUUUACAGCCAUUUGUCUCCCAGCUAUCAGCCUCCUGACGCAUGGGGUGAUGUGUGGGACUAAAAAAGGACAACAAAGAGAGGUUCCAGUGCACUCUCUCUCUUUGGGCUUGAAAUAUACUAUAGACGAGCAGAUUACCUCCUUCGCUGUAUCUGAGGUCUAAAGAGAAGUUCUACUUCCCCUCUUCCACUAUUAUUAGAGGAAAGGAGCCUUGACCUCUUCCCACCUCCAAGGGAGACUCCCCAUAUAAACCAUUGAGGACUGGGCUUUGGUUUCCAAGGAGAAAGGAGCUUAAUUUGUUCGGCCUUGGUUGGAGAUGGCGAACGCAGCGGGGCCUUUGUUGGAGAAGGUGUACUUCGAGAACUGCCCGGGUUGUAAGCAGGAGAAGAAGAAGGAUGCCAACCCAGGGAUACCCUACAAAGAGUUCGCCUUUGUGUGGAUGGUCACGCUCUGCACCGGUAAUUAAGGAAAACUCGCACUCAUUUUUUAUGUCUUUCUUACUGUGUUUCAGAGAAAUAGCUAUGUCUGUACUUUAGAGCAUGCGCUUUGAUUCUGUGAAAAAGAGGAUGUGAAAGAAGAGGAAACGUAGAGAGAAGGCCAAUACACUCUUUAUUCCAUGAGUCUUAGGGGUUUGAUUCCAGCAGCGGAUUCUCCUUCCUGCAUGACCCUUGUUACAAACACAUAAUUUUGAAAGGUGUAGGCAUACCUCGAUCUGUGGCUCAGCAUAGAAAGCAUCCAGUAUAUUGAAGUGGUCAGGACCAACAUCCUGCCACUUUUUUUUUUUGGUAGAACAUCGUGCCACUUCGAGAUAGGCUCUGGUACAAUUUCCACGAGAUCACGUAAUUCAAGUGUUUCGUUAGCUAUUCUUUGCAGGAAAGUGGCCUUUCCUACGCUAAUGAUUCCCUUGACACAAAAAGUCAGCCUUUUCUUCUGCAUAGGCUUAACCUGAGAGUUAGGGCUUUCCUCUUUCAACUCUUCAUCCAGACUCCUUGAUGAAAGAAGUUAUACUCUCUGCAUGGUUUUUAUGGAUAAUACGGAUACCUACCGAGCUACGCAAGAAUUCAACCAUCUUCUCACUGGACUUACCAAAGAACUUGUCCCUGUAAAGCUGUUUAAGCUGGGAAACACCACUGAAACCCUUAUCCACCAGCUUCCUAGGAUUCCGAGGUCCGACCCCGGGAAUCAUCAAAAGCUCGAGAUUCGCCACUGGCGUACCAUCAGACCCUCCACCUCUCUGCCUCCUCUCCACCACUCUGUUGUUCACCGCUCCAGACUGCUGCUGCUGCUGUGGUUCUUGAGAUUUCUUCUCCCCUUCCACAACCUCCUCCUCCUCACGAUACCCAUCCAAGACUCCGCCUUUCUCGCGAUUCCUCAAACCUUCGGCCACUCUCAAGUCCCUCGCCCUCUCGCCGUGCAACCAGGCGGCCGAGGACGGCUCCCGAGCCUGUCUCAAGAGCGGGGACCAUGCACGCGCGCUUCGACUGGAGGCCACUUUCGAGGCCAUGGCAGCAAGUAAUCCGGGGGGCCCUAAGCGGAAGGUUCAGUCGGAGAACGGCGGCGGCGGAGGAGGAGGGAGUGCGGAUGUGGAAGAUGGACAUCGGAAACCACAGCACGGGAACGGAGGGGAAAGCAGGAGCGGCGUUCUUCUCAAGCCAUCCGGUGGUGGAGAGGACGGGGGCGGGGCCGGCGGCUCCACGCCAGAGCUUCUGCAUUGCUCGCUGCAGCAGCGGCAGCUAGCGUUCAUGAAGAGGACGAGAGUUUUGGAGAGGAAGAGGAAGAGGAGAAGAAGGUCAGGGUUUAGGGUUUUGGGAUAUGGGUUAGGGUUCUGGUGUGGAGAGCAAAGCUCUGAUAUCAUACUGAAAUCACCUCUUAUCCUAAAAGCUUAAGCUAAUAGAAUAAAAUAAAUUUAUUUAUAUAUUUUAUAUUUUCUUGCGCUCCCUUCAUAUGUGGGCCAGACUUUUCUUUUAAUGGGCGAGGCCAACAUGUGUAAUUUUUUAAUAAUGGAGUAAAGAGUGUGCAAACAGAGUUCGAACUCAGAAUCUCUGCUCUGAUACCAUAUAAAAAAGAGAAUGUGAAAGAAGAGAAAACCGUAGAGAGAAGGCCAAUACACUCUUUAUUCUAUGAGUCUUAGGGGUUUGAUUCCAACAGCAGCUUCUCUUACCUGCAUGACCCUUGUUACAAACAUAUAAUUUUGAAAGGUGUAGGCAUACCUCUGUGGCUCAGCAUAGAAAGCAUCCAGUAUAUUGAAGUGGUUAGGAUGAGCUGGUUAAUCGCUAGAAACUUUUUGUUGCAUUAAUUUGGCCCAUCAGAUUUUUUUAUUUAUUUUUGUUAGUCUCGUUAGAAGAGUAGUUAUGAUCAAGGUUUGCCUUACUGGGGCCACACAAUCAUAGUGUCGAUGCGAUAUAGUGCACGAUACGUCUGACGUAUUGAGUGUCGGUACGCCAUCAGUACUAGAUUAAUAUGGUACAGUAUGUCCGGUACCAUUCGAUACAGUAUGAUAUAGCAUAUUAUGGUUAUGACGAUUACUGUAAUGCUGAUAAUAGGUGGCUGAGAGCAAUGGGAUUAAAUAGACUUAAAAAGAGGAAAAUAAUAUUUUGCUAUUGUUGUAAGGUUUGCGACUUGGAUUUAUCUGAAGAUUUUUAGGAAGCAUUAUCAUGUGAUUCUUAUAAAUGGUUUUGCGAUUUAAAAGGUUUGGAAGAAGACAAUUUGAUGUUGUUGUGUGGUUUGCAAUUUUGGUUUUUAUCAAGAGAAUAGUAUAAAAACAUCGAAAACUAGAUGGUACGAAGCGUAUUGUAUUAUAUCGGUUCUUUUAUUAAUAUUCAAUAUAAAUAAUAUAUUAAAUAUUAAUGUAUAAAAAUAUUUAUAUUAUAUUAAUAUUGUGGUGGUGUGCCUAGAAGAAUCUCGACUGCUAUGAUGUUUUUUUUUUUAAUGGAUGAAGCGUUCUAGAGGCAUCAGUACGUAAAGUGAUAUGUGUUGAUGGAUUCAAUUUUCCUUUGAAAUUUUAACCGAUGAAGCUUUACUGCCAGCUUGAAUAGUUUGGCCGUACGUGGAGGGUUCCGUGGGAAGUCUGGCAUGCAAUAAUUUUUUUCAGAUGAUGAAUGAUGGAUGGGUAAAGCAGAUGACUACGUUAUGUUUUUCAUUUUUGGGGCAUGUUUCUUUUUGCCCUGGGACUUCAAUUCCUCAUUAACAAUAAAAAUAUAACGAAUAACAUGAAGCAAAUGUAAAAAAGGAAAUUAACAGUUUGUUUUUGUUCUUCAAAGACCACAAUCUAAUAAUCUAAAUUUUGAACUUCAAAUACCACAAUCUACAGCCAAGUAACUCUGAUACUUGAAGUGCUGCACUUUGUUGUUAACAAUAAAUUUUAGCAUCAUUCAUGGUAACAUUAGCUUCUUUAUAUCAUUAUAUACAACGCUACAAUGAUUUUGAGACUUUGAUUUGAGAUCAUCAAGAAUUCUCACAAACAAACUUCAUAUUUUGAAGAAAUAAAUUAAUGCUCAUGAGAUUGGGUAUGUGGAACAUAAUGGUAGGGGGUUGUGUUAUGCGUAUAGCAAAAGUUUUUUUUUGUUUGAUGAAAACAUGUAUAAAAAAAUUUAAGUAGUGAAAUCUAUAUUUCUGAAACUUUGGGUGAGAAUCUAUAUAUAAUUCCUCCAAACAUUGAAGGAGGUUAGUGUAAUUUAAUCAAAACGAAAUCAAGUAUUUCUUUUUCAACAUUUUCUUUUUAUGGAUAAGAAAGAGAGAUGGAUGGAUGCCUGCUCCCCACUCCCCAUAGAAAUGAAAAAGAAAAAAAGCAAUAUAAGCAUUACAUUUGAGAUGUAUCACUAUCUAUCACCAUUCCGUUCUAUGCUCCGAUCCCUGAGUCUCCAUGACAAUUAGGAACUAAUACAGUACACGAAACAGGCGAGUAUUAGUUUUGUUAUUUUCCAAGUGCUGCAUUAAUAUUUAUUGAUCUCCACAUCCAGCAAAAAGUGAAAUAAUGAUCCCCAAUAUUUUUUUAUAUGUAGACUGUGAAAAAACGAAUACCACAUCAAGUUAGUGAAGGUGUUGGUGCUGGAUAAAAUGAUAUGGGAUUGAAUUUUGCCCUGAUCAAAAAAACUUAAGGCUCGUUUGGUUCGCAGAGAGAAAAAAAGAGAAAAAGUGUUGUCAACGAAAAAAAGAAAAAAAAUUACUUAUUUGGUUGAAGUUUUUAAAAUAAGAAAGAUAGAAGAGUAACAUUUCCAUAGGAAUAAGAUUCCUAAGUUUUAUGGAAAAGAAAAAUCAUAAUGGAUAUUAGAACGCUAUUUUCUCACCAAUUGAAAAUUGAGAUUUUUUUUUCAAAACUAUCCUUAGACCAUCAAAAUCCAUAAAUAAGGUUUUUUUCUUUAUUAAGGGUAUAAUAAAUAUUCCAUACAACUUUUUUAGGAAGUAGAUACUCAACAAAACAUAAGCCACUUUGGAAUGUACCACUUUUUCAUGGUCAACCAAAUAUACUAAAUUCAUUUUUCCAUGCAUCAUAUUCUCAGGAACCAUUUUUCUAGAAAAAAUAUUUCGAUGAGGAAAAAUUCUUCAUGCGGAAUACUAUGCACCUUUCUUCGUACAUGGGGUCCACAAAAUGAUGAUCCAACAAGCCAAUUGAUGGGCAGGGCUGUUUGGAGCUGGAUGCUAAUAAGUCAAAAUUUGUGCCAUCAGAUGGAGAGAUUAUACCCUAUUAGAGGCGGCAUUGAGCCGGGCCGCCCAUGGCCCGGCACGAAGCAGGCCGUGCCAGGCAUGGCCCGCUUGCUACAGUAACGAGCCGUGCUAGGCACGGCCCGUUAAAAGGGGGCUGGGCUGGGUUAAGGAUUUCUGACCCGUGGGUCGAGUCCGACACGGCCCAUAAGGGCCUGGGCUGGCACGAUUCGUGGGCCAAGCACGGCACGACCCGCGGGCUAGCCCGAAAUGGCCCAUAAGGGCCUGAACCGGGUCCGACACGGCCCACAAGGGCCUGGGCCGGUCCAGGCACGGCUCGUCCCCCUUAAAAUAAACGGGAAUAAAAUUUUUAUUUAUAAAUUUUUUAAAAAAUUAAUAAAUGUUGGGAACUAAGGAUUUAUUAAUAUAAAGCCACCUUAAUGGUGGGGAGUUUGGCAUAUACCCCUACCAGUUUAUUAAUUUAAAUCAAAAUGGUACAUGAAGGGAGGUUUGGUCUGACCUCCAAAAUACAAUAAGAAAGGAGAAAAANNNNNNNNNNNNNNNNNNNNNNNNNNNNNNNNNNNNNNNNNNNNNNNNNNNNNNNNNNNNNNNNNNNNNNNNNNNNNNNNNNNNNNNNNNNNNNNNNNNNNNNNNNNNNNNNNNNNNNNNNNNNNNNNNNNNNNNNNNNNNNNNNNNNNNNNNNNNNNNNNNNNNNNNNNNNNNNNNNNNNNNNNNNNNNNNNNNNNNNNNNNNNNNNNNNNNNNNNNNNNNNNNNNNNNNNNNNNNNNNNNNNNNNNNNNNNNNNNNNNNNNNNNNNNNNNNNNNNNNNNNNNNNNNNNNNNNNNNNNNNNNNNNNNNNNNNNNNNNNNNNNNNNNNNNNNNNNNNNNNNNNNNNNNNNNNNNNNNNNNNNNNNNNNNNNNNNNNNNNNNNNNNNNNNNNNNNNNNNNNNNNNNNNNNNNNNNNNNNNNNNNNNNNNNNNNNNNNNNNNNNNNNNNNNNNNNNNNNNNNNNNNNNNNNNNNNNNNNNNNNNNNNNNNNNNNNNNNNNNNNNNNNNNNNNNNNNNNNNNNNNNNNNNNNNNNNNNNNNNNNNNNNNNNNNNNNNNNNNNNNNNNNNNNNNNNNNNNNNNNNNNNNNNNNNNNNNNNNNNNNNNNNNNNNNNNNNNNNNNNNNNNNNNNNNNNNNNNNNNNNNNNNNNNNNNNNNNNNNNNNNNNNNNNNNNNNNNNNNNNNNNNNNNNNNNNNNNNNNNNNNNNNNNNNNNNNCAUAAAGAAGUUGUAUUACCUAAUUUUAGUCAGGUUCAAGAUCUUGAAUCAUAUUUUCACAAUAUGCAUCAAGUAAAAUUAGUACGCCAUUCAAUUUAACUCUUGGAUCAAAUACAACAGCUAAGUUAUGCAUAGGACAUAUCUUGUCCCAAUACUCAUUCCAUUUAGAUUCCAUUUGUUCAAUAAUAGGCAUUAAAACAUCAUCAUAUCUUUGUUCUGCAAAUUUUUGACUAAUCAUAUAUGCUUGUUGUAAAAAUGAACAUGAAGUUGGAUAAUAGAUACCAGAAAGAACAUUAGCGCAUUAUAAAAACUAGCCAAAAAAUCUUCCAAAUUUUUUCUUUAUUCCAAUCAAUUUCAGUCAAUGUAAAGCCUAAUCCACGAUCAUUAAUAUAUACACUUAAUAAGUUUUUAUAUAGGUAUGCAUCAUGUAUCAUGCUAUAUGUUGCGUUCCAACGAGUAAUUACAUCAAUUUUAAAUUUUUUAAAACGUUUAUCAUGAUUUAUACAUAGUUUCUUAAAUUUUUGAAGUCUUGAUCUUGAAGCAUGAAUAAAAGAAACUGCAUUUCUAAUUUUUGGGUUGCUCGUUCCUAUACCAAUACAUUGAGAUAAGCUCUUGCUGAAUGAAGCCUAUAAAAACGAACGGCUAUAAUUGCUUAUGCAUAGGGCCAGUCGGCCUUAUGAUGCAUGCAGUGUAAGGUAUCAUUUCUCCAUUUGGUGGACAUGACUCAUGUGAUUCCUAACAAUUUGGACUAACUUGCAGUUGCAGUGGACCCUACCAAUAGACCAUGAAACCUCUUUUCUGAUCAUAGCCUUUUCUUCUGGGAUCCACCAAGGUCACGUUGGGAUUGCUAUUGAUAGUACAACUUUUAGAGUUGUGAGAAUAAAGCUAUGAGAAGUAGAACUUUGGAAAAUAGAUUUUUUAUAAAAUAUAUUUGCUGUUUAAUAACUAUAUUUUUUAAGUACAGUAAGAUUUUAAUGUAUUUGAUAACCAAACUCACAAAAUGCUUUUUAUAUAACAAAAUGAGAACAGCGAGCCCACUCGCUCCUCCGGAGUUGUAGCUACCACCUCCCUCGUAACUGUAUGGGGCCCAACUGGUGCUACAUGGCACUAGAUGACUGGUACACUUGUUGUUGGAAAGUUGAACCUUCACGAUUGCGACACGUGGCACAGAGUUUGCUGUGGUGCGUGGUAUAACAGAAAAAUUUUUAGAUUCCCAGAUGGGACCCACGCCCCUAAAUAUGGCGGGCCCGCAUUCUUAUCCCACGUGGCUAUCUCCUUACCUUGAUACGUGUCUCCAUGCACCCGGUCCUUUUCUUAUCGAGCCGGGUCCGGGUUCCCCUCGUCUGCCACUUAAACGGCAUUCUAAUUCACCGUCGGACUCGCCGUCUCGUCACCUUUCGUGCCCUCACCGCCUCGUCUUGGACGUGCAAAGAAAGCAGACACAAGUCCGGCUCCAACGUAGGAAGGUUACGCGACUCGCUCCCUCUCUGUGGGUUAAAUAUAGCACGAGACCCCAAAAGCAGGUUCGCCGAAUCCGAGCUCGACGGUAGAGAGAGGCGUGGAAGUUCCGUUUCCUCUUCUUCGAUAGUUUCUUGGAAAGCGAUUGAAUCGAAGGCGAUGGUGUUGGAUUGAAUUCGAGCCAUCGAGGUAGUGGGGAGGAGUUGGGCGUGGAGUUUGGCGAGGCGAGAGGGGGUUUCUUGAAAGGCCAAAGGCUCUGUUCUCGUAAAACUCCGAAGGAGAUGGCAGAGAACAGAGCCCCGUUGUUGGAGAGGAUGCGAUUGAAUCGAAGGCGAUGGUGUUGGUUUGAAUUCGAGGCGGUGGGGAGAACUUGGGCGUGGAGAUUGGCGAGGCGGGAGGGGGUUUCUUGAAAGGCCAAAGGCUCUGUUCUCGUAAAACUUCGAAGGAGAUGGCGGAGAACAGAGCCCCGUUGUUGGAGAGGAUGAUGUACUACGAGAGCUGCCCCGGGUGUUAGUUGGAACAGAGGAAGGAGGAGAGAAGAGGGAUGCCCUACAAGGAGUUUCUUUAUGUGUGGAUCGUCACGCUUUGUACUGGUGAGGAAAGUAGAAUUAAUUUUGGUUUCUUGAUUGGUUUGUUUUGAAGAGUUGAUGUUUAAAGCUGUUUUUUGAGGCCAAGAACUGUUUUUUUUUUUUGGUACAUCGAGGAACUAUUCUUUUUGAUGGCAUUUGGCGGGAGAGUAGUUUUCUUUUUCUUCUUCUUCUUCUUCUUUUAAAUUUCUUGGGGAAAACUGGCUGGAAUUUGCUUUCUUGCUGGAUGAUUUAAGGCAAUGGUCUUCAAAGCUUGGAUUUUGAUUCCAAGAAUUGGUUAAAAUACUAGGUUUCGAAUGGCAUCUGGUGUGGAGAGAGUUCUACUAGUGUAUUAUUUUUCAAAAAAGAAAAAAUGGUUAGGCUGGUUGGAUUAGAGAUCUAGCUAGAGAUUCUGAGGAAUAGUUGCUGCAAUUUGCUUUUUUGAUGGUUUUUGUUUUAAAGAAACGAUCUUUUCAUUGUCUAUCUGAUGCCAAGAAUUGGUGGCUUGUAUAUUUUUGGAUUGCAUUUGGCAGGGAGACAUCUCUUGUUUGUGCGUUUUUUUGUUAGGCAUGUUGGAGGAGAUUAAGCGGGAAUCCAAAUGAAUGACUUUGAGUAGUUCUUUGGAGUUGAUUUUAUUGGUAUACAACAGAUUGUUGAGUUAAUGAGCUGAUAAAUGUUUUGAAAAAGUUUUGCCAAGAAAUUUUCAUUGUGGGGUUCUUUGAUACUGUCGAGCAUUGUUAUGCACUUUUAAAGCAAUGUGCUUCGUUUUUGAUUGAGCAAGUAAUGAUGUUUUCACUUCGAUGUAGACAAUUUAGUUUUCUUUUGGCUCUUUUCUGCAUAUCUGUUUUCUAUUUUUAAGUAAGGCGGUACAAGUUGAUGUUCUGGGUAAUCAUGGGUUCUUUUAUCUUACAACAUUUUCGUCAACAUUGAUCUAAGCAACGACUACUGUUUUUACCUGAUAUUUAGCAGGUGAAUGUUUUCUGGGAGUUUAGUGAUCACGGGUCUAGGAUUAUAGUUACAUGGCUAUCUGUUGCUCGAUGUAUUGACCUUUUAUUUAUGGAUAUAAAUUGCAGAAAUGUUAGAGAAAGAACCUGUAAGACAAAACAAUAUUCAAGCAAUAAACUGAUUGUGCUAAAUUUUAGUUCCUGUUAGGUUUAUAAAUAAGUUCAGAGGCAUCAGGACAGGUACAGCCGUACAGGAUGGUUUCUUGAAUAAAAUAAGUUGAAAUGAAUGAAUUGGUGAUGGAUGGGAAUGGGAUUGAAAGAUUGUAGUAAUCCAGAAAAAAUACUUGCUAUUUUUUGAAAUUUCAUCAUAAAGAAAUUUAAAUGGAAUUACUUUGUUAACAUUUUCUAAACAUUGAUGGAGAAGAGUUAUCCCAGUAGUCAAAACAUGCACUGUCCAUGCAAAAUUUUCUGAUAGGCAUCAUAUUUUGACUAGCUGAAAUAGGAGGAGUGUGUGAAGACCUGUUCGAGUAUGUAUUGAGUCCUACAUUAGUUAUCCAUUAGGUAGAUUUUGGAUACUUAUAUAGGGCUAAGGAGCAAGGCUUUAAAUCCCAAAGAAUAGGGUGUCCCAGUUUCUUCAUGGAAUAGGAUGCUCCAUUAUCCCGCCCCGACUUAGCAGCCAUCUUGGUCAAGUAUAUGUACCGUCCAUCCCUCUCCCCUUCUCCUUUCUUAAUUUCUUUCCUUAUUUGUUUCUUUUUUCCCUUUCUUCCUCCUUUCUUUGCUGAAGCUGAAGCAGCUAUGUUUCCAGCCGCAAUGGGCUCAGCUCAAGCUGCUGUCAGGAACAAAGUACUCGCAACAAACUGGCUUUGGUGAUUCAGUCGAAUUGGAUAGUCCAGCCCCUUCUUUUCUCCCUUUUCCGCUCUGUGGAACUAGUACCUUCCUUUCUUUUUUCUUUUUAUUUUGUCUUCCUUUCUUUCCUUGCUUUCUUUUUUCUCGUCUCCCUUCCUUCCCUUCUCUCCUUUUUCUUCUUCUUUCUUUCCUUUCUUCCUUAUUUCUUUUCUUUCUUCUUCUUUUCCCUUCUUUCCUUUUCUUCUUCUUUUAUUUUGUUAUCUUUUCCUUUUUUCAUCUUUCCUUACCUUCUUUCUUUCCUCUUUCUUCUUCUUUCCUACGUGGAUGCAUUUUGAAGUCGUACUCCCAUCCCAUCUUGUUUUCUAACAAGAAUGGGUGGACAAUGAAUGGAUAGCGCACGGUUCUUCAUAAGUCCGAUAGCACGAACGAUAGAUUGUACAUCUGAUGAGAUGGUUAGGACACCUCUUAUCCCAUCAGGAUUUAAAAUGUUGGUUACAAAUGGCAUCAGAGUAGAGUCGGUCCACGGUUCAUGUGGACUAGGAGAUACUAUAGCAUUGACCUUUUCUGGGUUGACCAUAGACCAAUUCUAUUAUUUGUGAUUGGACUUGACUAGAUGUGAACACUUAGCCUAGCGAGGAUGCCAAAGUUUAAAUAAGAGAUUAUGAUAGAAUCCUUGUGGACAUGUGUUUAGUCCCAGUAAAUACAUUGAUUGUAUGCUGGGAAGAUCUUAUAUACUUAUUUGGAGCUAAAAAAAUUAAAUAACACCUUGUGACUAGCCUUUUUGGUUGAUAUUCUAUAUCGUUAUAAAUGGACCUUUUGACUUAAGGUCCAUGUGACUAGGGGACACUAUAACACAGGCCCAUUUGUGACUGACUCGGGCUAAUUAUGGUAUUUUUGAUUAGAAUUGAUUAAACUUAGAUCCUUAGCCUCUCAAGGAUGUUAGAACUUAAAUAAGAGAGUAUGUGAGAUCCUGUGCAGCCGUGUAUUUAGUUUCAUAUUGGUUGUAUACUGGUAAGAUCUCUAGUGCUUAUACAGAGCCAAGAAACCUAAAUAAUACCUUCCAACUAGUCUUUUUUAUGUAAAGUUCUUAAUCGUUAUACUUGAUAUCAGAGAGGAUUAUACAUAAUAUCAUAGAGGACUCAGCACAUAGCCCAUGUGCAUUAGGGACUUUCCAAUAUGGAUCCUUUUAGGGUUGACCGUAAGUUGAUUGUGGUGUUGGUGAUUAGAUUUAACUGAAUUUGGAUAUUAGCCUAGCGAAGAUGGCCAACCUUAAAUAGAGGGAUUAUGUGAGAAUCCAUAUAAGGUCUGUUUAGUUCCACAUCAUUUGUAUGCUAGAGAAUCUUAGGUAAUUAUAUAGAGCCAAAGAACUAAAACAACACUUUUCUACUAGCCUUUAUGGAUAAGAUGCUGGGUCGUUACGAAUAGUAUCGGAGUAGACCUAUCUUAUGGCCUAUAUAGACUAGGGGAUGUUGCAAUAUGGAUUCAUUAGGGUUGACCACGGGCUGAUCAUGGUGUUCAUAUUGGAUUUGGAUCCUUAGCCUGGUGAGGAUGCCAGGGCUUAAAUGGGAGGAGUAUGUGAGAGCUUAUAUGGGCUUGGGUUUAGUUCUUUAUUGAUUGGGCUCUGAAAAGAUAUUGGGUACUUAUGCAAGGUUAAAGAACCCAAAUAAUGCCUUUUAGUUACCUUUUUUGGAUGAGGUCCUUGGUCAUUACAAAAGAUAUUAUAGCAUACUCGACUCACAGCCCAUAUGGGCCGAGGACACUAUAGUAUGGACCAUUUUGGGGCUGAUCACUAACUGAUUAUGGUGUUUGUGAUUGAGUUUGACUGGAUUUGGACCUUCAGCCUAGCAAGGAUGCCGAGACUUAAAUGAGGAAGUAUGUGAGAGCCUGUGUGUGGUGUGGUUAGUCCCACAUUAUCUAUAUACUAGAAAAGUUUUGGGUACUUAUACAUGGCUAAGGAACUCAUAUAUUACCCUUUAGCUAGUCUUUUUAGGUGAGAUCCUAGAUUAUUACAAAAAGUACCAAACUGGCCUUAGCCCACAGUCUAUAUGGACUAGGGAACGCUGCAACGUGGACAUUUUUAGGUGGUAAGCUUGAGUCAAUCAUGCUGUUUGUGAUUGAAUUUGACUAGAUUUGGAUCUGUGACUUAGCGAGGAUGCUUGAGCUUAAAUAAUGGGAGCAUGUGAGAGCUCAUGUAUGUAUGUAUUUUGGUCCUACAUAGGUUGUGCAAUGAGAAGAUUUUAGAUAAUUAUAUUGGACCAAAAAAAUCCAAAUAACUCCUUUCGGUUAGCCUUUUUAAGUAGGAUCCUAAGUUGUUACAAAUAGUAUCAGAGAAGAUCCAGCUCAUAACCCAUGUAAAUAUAAGACAUUGAAGCACAUACUCUUCUGGGACUGACCAUAGAUUGAUCACUAUAUUUAUGAUUGGAUUUGGUUGUAUUUGGAAUCCUAGCUUGAAGAGGAUGCCAAUGCUUAAAGGGGGAGAGGGUUAUAUGAGGACUCAUGCAGGCAUGUGUUUAAUCCAACAUCAUUUGUGCAUUGAGGAGAUGUUGGCUACUUAUACAAGGAAUACAAACAACACCUUUUGGUGAGGUCUUGGGUUGUUAAUACCACUCCUCAAUACAUAGUCUAUUAGGCUGAUCGUAAACUUUGUCAAUUAGACAAGAUCCCACCAAACUCAAUUUAUAUUUCCCAUGACUACGGAAAGUGGUUUCUAAAGACAUGGACUAUCAUUUGUUCAUAUAGUUGUAUAUUAGAUUAUUGAUACCACAUAUAUUUGUAGAUACAAUGUAGGCUUGUUAUACACAAUAUUAUGAGGGGCUACAAACUACCAUAGUUACAUAUAUUGCGCUUUUUACCAGAAUGGAAGAUACUUGCAUUAUUUCGACAUUACAACAUAUGCUUCCUGGACUUCAUCAUAUUUUGAAGAAUCACUAAGUUUUGUAUUGUGCAUAUUUCUACUUCACUACAAAUUUUUAUACUGAAGAAUGAGGAGACAGAUGUGGAUAUUUUCCUUAGAGUUGAGAUUGUUUCAGUGCACACUUUAAUUUGUGUAGCAUUGCUUGCCACUUAGGCUUUUUAUAUCAUGGCAAGAGUAUGAAUGCUUUUGCUGUAUAAACUGGAGUAUUGACAAUGGAGUGGAGUUAAUUUUGUACAAAAACGGGUGAUGGGAAACCUACAAAAAAAUUGAUAGCAAUUGGGAGAAAGGAGUUGCAUAAAACUAAGACACUAUCUUCAAUAAGUAUAGCAAGCAAUGCUUGAGUGAAAUUGACAUCAAACAAGAACAAGAUUUGUUAAUCAUUUUACACACCUAAACUCCCUUAUGUCAAAAUGGAAGGGUGGGUCUGCAAAAAGGAGAGGACCAAUGAACACCUCAAUUGUAUUUGAGGAAACUAGGGGGGCUUAAAAAAUUCAGUCCCACUAUUGAAUUCAAAUAUUUACAUUUGGUUGACAACUAACUAUAAAAAAAAUAGACUAAAACUCUUAAAUAAAUCCUAUUGAUGUGAAGGUGUUAACACUGGUGUUGCCUACUAUAGCAAAGAUUGACAAAUUUGGAUCAUAAAGCCAAGCAUGAUGCCAUGGUUAUGGUUAUGGAUUUGUACUUCUACUAUGUCAUGGAGAAUAUGGUUCUAAAAGAGUAUGCUUAGUGAAUAAUGACAAGAAAAUUGACAUUAAUUAUAGAGUGGUCAUUUUGUAUUGAGAUAAGCAGAGAUGAUUCCUACCAGUUUAGGUAAGGAACAUAGUGUUGCAGCUGUUCCACACAACUGUGGUCUCUUAAACUGAAUUUUCUUGCCUACCUGUGCCCGAAGCGAAUGGGUGCUGCUGUGGGUCAAUUCCAGGGCAGGGGUUGAAACUUUUGAUAGUUUUAUUUGAAUUUGAUGUUUCAAGGUACUUUUAUGAGUUGUUUAGGAUUUUUUCCCUUAAUGUUGCAUUUACUUCUCUCUGGAAGCAAUGUUGUACAUUUGUAUCCUAUUUAUGAAAUGCAACAAGGUUGUUCAGGUCGAGAAUCAACAUGAGCCAUACUUGAAAUGAUUCAGGUUUAUGUAUAGAAUUUGGACCUAAGCCUAAGUUUGUUUUGUUCAGCCCUCAUUCUAUUUUGAGUAGUAUCAUGGGCCAGCCACUAUUUACCUAUAAUUGUUAAUGUAUACUUUUUUUCUUAGUUGAGUUGGGUCUGGUUUUUGCUAGACCUAGUUUGAGAAUUAUCUCUGGAAUUAGGACUUAACGCAAAUUCUCAAAUUUUAAGAAUGAGACAUCUCCAAAUCAAAUUGGGUAUGUUGAAUCUUGGCCUACUUGAGACACUUGCACCAUGCUUUAUAGUUUAUACAUGUUCUAUUUCAAUAUCCGAUACGAUUUGUUGCUUUCUAAUGAUUUGCCCACAUAUUUUGUCCUCUCAUUUUUUAUCUUACAUGUUUUUCUAACACUUCUUUUUUGUGUCUGGCUUUUUCAGCUUUACCCAUAUCGAUAUUGUUUCCAUUCUUAUAUUUCAUGGUAUGUAUGCUGAAUUGUUGUUAUUUAUUUUUUAUUUGGAAGCAUAGAAUCAUUUAAGUUCUACUAUCUUCAAAGAAAUUAUCUUGUUUAUUCAUGAUUGGAGUUGCUUGUCUUGUUGAGCCUUUGUUCCUUCUCUUUUUGUAAAGAUAGCUACUAAAACCAAAGGUGGAAGUCUAACCAAUGGGGGUAGGGAUUGCUGGUAAUUGUGUUAGUUGACACUAGAUGCUAACUCUUUCUAAAAGAAUAGUCAUAUCCAUGGCCAUCAAGCCAUCAUCACCUAUUUGGGGCCAACCUUCUUGAUCCCUGUUUCCCAGCCAUUUCUUUUAAGGAGACUGCUAAUGUGGUUACUGCAUCUUUUUCUAAAUCCUUUAUUUUGAAUUUCGUUUUCUUGGUUUUGAUCUUCCCCUCCUCUAAUUGGACUUUUCAUAUAGAUUCAAGCACCUCUUUUUAUUAGGGCCUCCUUGAAUCUUCAUUGCAAAUGCCCAUACCAUCUCAAUUGAUUCUUGAAUACUAUUUUCCGAAUUAAUGAAAUUCCUAUGUUUUUUUGGUAUUCUUGUUUCUCACUCCUAGUUCUCCCACAUGUCCACCCUGGCAUUCUUAUGCUUGUGAAGCUCCUCUUCAGUGGGAAUGUUAAGCUCCAGCAACUCUUUGUUGGAAGUCCCCAACAUUGUAGGUCUCAACACAACAUUUUAGGUCCCAACACAAUUUUAUUCGAUAUUUUUCCGCAUCACAUAACCCAGAUGUGACUCCACUAUAUUUUCUGGUCAUUGCUUUUAUUAGAUAUUUUUUGCAUGAUACAUCAUCAUCAUCAUCUUCUGCUUCUUCUUCUUCUUCUUCUUCUCCUCUUCACACUUGGUGACUUUACCAAUUGGCACCCUCAUUAUAUGAUUUAUUAAUAACACCAAUCACAUUGAUGCAUAUGUUUACCAUUAAUUUUGACUAGAACCUUGUAUGCUUUUGUUUUAUCGGAACCAAAUAUGAUCGGACCCCUCAUUACCCUCCAUCCUCUGUUGUCAUUAGUGCUGUUGCCACCAGUUGGAUCAUGGCCAUCACUUACACCAUCCCUCUAUCAUGCUCCACAAGCCCAACCCAUAAACUAUGACCUGCCAUUGCUGUAUUCAUUGCGCUAUUGACAUAACCAACAUUGUUCCAAUGUACCGGCCAUGAUGGUGGCCUGGUAGUGGUAGGGGCAGAAGGAUGUCAGGAUGAUGGUGGGUUGAUGAGAUUAUGGGAAAGGUGUUAGUAUCAUGGCAGUGGCAGGCUGGUGAUGUUCUAGGAUUAAGGUCAUUGAAGUUUCAAUAUAUUGCAGAUGGUAGAUUAUCCUAGAUUAUAUAUUUGCAGAUACCUUGAUUUGAUUAGCCAUAUAUGUGCUUGAAGCCCUUGAACUUUGAAUAAAAUGAACAUCACUCAUGAUUCCUUUCCUUUUUUCUUUUCCAUAGGUAAGAGACUUGCAUAUUGCCAAAAGGGAAGAAGAUAUUGGAUUCUAUGCAGGUUUUGUAGGUGAGUAUCUGUUGCACACUUGCACUGCAUGUAAAAAUAUCUGAUGUGCUGCGAAUCAAACAUUUAGGUGGUAUUGUUACAGUUAGUACCUUGUUGCACAUGUUAACUGGAUGUAACUGACAUAUGUUCCCCCUCUUGAAGGAGCUUCAUUUAUGUUCGGGAGAGCUUUGACUUCUGCAUUUUGCGGACUGGUGGCUGAUAGAUAUGGGAGAAAACCUGUUAUUGUGAUUGGCAUAUGUGCUGUGUCAGUAACACUUGCUUUCCUGUCUGAUCAACGUUGUUAACAUGAAAAUGCUAAGGAAAUAUUGUUUAGCUUUCUUCUGUUUCGAUUCCUAUCUUGUCACUCUGGUGUUGUUGCCAUUACAGGGUCAUAUUCAACACUCUUUUUGGGCUAAGUACAACUUACUGGAUGGCAAUUACUACAAGAUUAGUCCUUGGAUCUUUCAAUGGUUUACUUGGUCCAAUAAAGGUAUGAUUAAAAUGGCUGAUUGGUUAUCCCUCUCAAAUUGUUAACUGUACUGAGCUAAUUGUAACUUUUAUGACUUGAAUUUUGCACAGGCUUAUUCUAUAGAAGUUUGUCGAGCAGAGCAUCAAGCUCUUGGAUUAUCAAUUGUAACAAAUUCUGUAUAUGUUGUUUAAUCAAAUAUAUUUUGUAUCUCUCACGAAUGCAUAAUUCAGGUAUUCUGGCUGUCUCCUUUCAGGUCAGCACAGCGUGGGGUAUAGGUUUGAUAAUUGGCCCAGCAAUUGGAGGCUUCUUUGCGCAGGUACCCAUGAAUUAUUCUUUUUAAGCACAUUGUUGGAAAUGAAACUGAGCAUUUGCGCAUCCUUGAGUGCCAAGCUGUUUGCAGCUGUGCCAAUGUCUGUCUAGUACAACACAUUCACAUUUUUUAUUUAAUAGCUAUAUGUGUUAAUUCUUAUGUUAAUACUUUAUGCAUGUAAAUUUGGAGUAAACGAUGCCAAACAAGAGAAAAAAUGCAAGGAGAAAAAAAAUCUCCAGGAUUGAUUCUAUAUUGUGAAGAAAAUCUACCAAAAAAUUAGGGCUGCAUCAGUGAAUUAGGGUGUUCAAAAGUAAUUUAUAUGACAGCACAUGCAAGGAGGAAAAUAAAAUACCAAAUAUAUCUACACACACAUAAACACAUAUAAAUUAAUGCAUAUACACAUAAAUAGAAACACAUAGACAUAUGCAUACCGAACACAAAUGGAUUAGAGAAUGAGUUGCAAAGGGUCAUACAAUUUCCAGGUUUCUCAAUUGGAGAUGGUGGUCCAUCAUCCUAUUAAUGGCUCAGAAUCAGCUGAAGCAAAGUAAUUCUAGGAGAUAAAACAUUUAUGAAAGAAAAGGUCAGGAAUGUGGUCUCAGUAGGCAUCCGUAAACUGACCAAAAUGAUUUCUACAUGGGUUUUUUUAUGACCUUUUUAGGAGGGGGGGGGGGGGUGCGCAUGAAGCAUCAUGCCAUCAUUCUUUCCCUUCAACCUAAGAAUGACGGUUGUAUAGGGAUUUUCUAGAUGGUGAUGUUAGGCUUUUGAAGCCUCAAAUGUUUUGAGCUCUGUACGAUGCUAACAGAAGAGAAGGAUAUGUUUAUGUUGCAAUCAUUAAACUAAUUGGAAACCUGAAUCUUAGAAAUAGAAAGUUUAACCAGUUAGCAAAUAUUAGGAGAUCUGCUUUGAUCAAGUUUUACUUGUUUUAACCAUUUGGAUUUUGACAUCAAAGGAAUUAGUUCUCUGAAGAUAUCUUUUUAGGUGAUAUGUUUCCAAAAUAUUUGCAUGAGAGAGAAAAGGAGGAUGGUGUAUAAUUUGUGUGGAGGGUGCCCUCCCUUGUAUAUGUUACUCUCUCUCUCUCUCUCUCUCGGACAUGCUUGCUGCUGUUUAUUAAUUAAAUAUAUUGCAUAAAAUUGGUGUAAUAUCAUUGAGGGGUCUAAUGAGUGGAUCUUGACGAUAUUCAACUUCUCACAGUGGACCAUGCAUAAUUUAAUCGACUGAACCCGACUGAACCUGUCAUUAAUUGCUGACAACUGGGAGUAUAAAGCAUUACUGCUAUUUCUUGUAAAUAUUAAUAUCUGAGUUUCCUCUUUAGUUAUUGGGGUCAGGAUCUUGAUGGACACUAGUACCAAUCAGAUAAAAGAAAGUCAUAUUUUUAAUGGAAGUUGAAAUGACAGAAGUACCUCUGACAGCAAGAGUGAUGAUCUUUCAGAGAAGAAAGUAGCAAAAUUUGAGAUGAAGAUUGACUAAUGACUAGAGAGUGAAAUUGAAAUUAAAACGAAGAGCAAUUUCUUUUGGGAGAAUUCACUCAUUGUGUCAAAACAACAUCAUCAAACAUCUAGUCGUCUAAGGGGUAUUCAAGCCACAGUGCUAAUGUGGACAUUGACUAUAGAGAUGAUGGGCUUUCUAGAGCAACAAAUUGGUUAGGAUAUUGUCAUAUACCGGUUAAUAUUUCUACAGCUUUGCACAGUAGUCAUUGAAAAACAUUAGGUGUACGAAGAAUUGUUUAUUUCAAAAGCAUUUGGCUGUAAUGUUUUUCUCAGCCUGUAUCAAACAUUCUUAGCACACUCCAUCCUUUUCCAUUGUUAAUAACUUCAUAUUAUGAUUUCUUGUAAAAAAGCAUUAUAUUUUAUAUGCUGGUGUAACCUAACUGUUACGCAAGUCCAAACUUAUUAGGAAAUUAACCUUGUGAUUGUCCCUUUUUUUCAGAAAUUUUCAUUAUAUUAAAUUCUUAUUCUUGUGUCUUUCGAUGCAUUUUGUAUCAGCCUGCAGAAAAAUAUCCUGAUAUAUUCUCCCAGGAUUCCUUUUUUGGGAGGUAUGGAUGCUUCUACUACUAAGUUCCGUUUGCUUAUUUAUGACCUCUGCUCAUAUUUAAUUUUAUUAUUGCCAUCUUUUGUAGGUUCCCAUACUUCUUGCCCUGCUUUUGUAUAUCGCUCUUUGCAGUUGGUGUGUUAAUUCUAUGCAUAUGGCUUCCUGUAAGUUGUAGAAUCCAUGUUUAAUAUUCCCCAUCUUGUAUGCUAGAGCAAAAUGAUAAUAACAUUAUUUCAUUGUUACAUGUGGGUCCUUCUUCAUUUGUUUCCCUUAUCUUUUUUAGUCCAUUAAUCUCAAUUUUUUCAAAAAUUUGCUAGAAUAACCAAAAUGAAUCGAUUUAACUCUGUUUUCUCUUCCCACCUGUUAUCUAACUCUUUCAAAGCAUAUGAAAUUAAGUUUCUAAAAGUGUCUGUUGUAUCAUUAGUAAUACAAAAUUAUCAUACAAGGAUGAUGAUGCUGAAGAUGAAUGGACCCAUCAUGCAUUUCCAUGCAUGAGGAAGAUCCUUUUCUAACACAUAGGCAUAUGAAUGUUCUUUAAUAGAAAAAUCCUAUUUUUUCAUUCCUUCCUUGAAUAUUCAGAAAGUUCAUUUGGAGUCGAGGGGAAGGUUAUGGCCUUCUGUAGGUUAAACAAUGUUAAAACAACAUAAAUCCAUCGAAAACUGCUGAUUUUGAAUUCUUUAUGCGAUUACUUUAGUUCAAAGGGAAGUGAAUUAGCAUCUUAUGGGUUUCCAGCAGCCACCCUGAUGAUUUUUUCUGUGUAAUGCUUAUGAUCACUUGAUUGCUUCUGAAUCACGUAGCACCAAAAACUCAUGAUUUGCAUGCAUUGACAAGGUUUAAUCUCUCGUAUUUACCCGAACUUUCUCUGGUUAAAAUAUUGUCCCAUGAUACUUGGGAGGACAUACUUCAUAUGUUAUAUUAUUGGCUUUGGAGAGGUGUUCUCCAAUAUGUUCUUUCCAACAAUUUUUUCGUUAUCAUAAACUGGAUUUUGCUUUUACUUGAUUCAACAAAUAUAUUGUCUCUAAUUCAUUUAUUCUCUUGCUAGUUUCAUUUUCAUUCAUGAGUGGCUACUCUGAUGCAGAGCACAAAUAUACAAAUUUACUCAGCAGUGUAAUUUGUUCUUACAUCUAUAUAAUUUUAUAGGAAACAUUGCAUAUGCAUAAUGUAAACAAAAUGCAAGAUGGAACAAUUGAAGCUCUUGAGGCUCCAUCACAUGGAUCUGAUCUAAAAGAGAAUGCCAAUGAAAGUGAAGAAAGAGCUACUACAGAAAACCUAUUCAAGAAUUGGCCUUUGAUGUCAUCGAUCAUUGUUUAUUGUGUUUUCUCCCUUCACGAUAUGGCCUACGUUGAGGUAAUAUUUCUUGCUUCAAUGUAUCUGAUUGCUUUAUAAAUCCUUAAAUAAAAUAUUAUUAUUUUUUAUGUAUUACUCCAAAGCUUCUUCCAUAUGUACUGUGCAUGCGAGUGCAACACAUGCAUAUAUUAUUUGGGAAGAAAAUAUUCUCUCAUGAAAUAAAUGGCUAUGUUUUUAACAUUGCAUGCCUUAUGAACUUCAAGAAGUGUUGGCAUCUGAGAUAUGUAGUAAACUGAAUUUGAAUGCCUUAUGAACUUCAAGAAGUGUUGGCAUCUGAGAUAUGUAGUAAACUGAAUUUGAAAUUUGAAAUGUUUAUUGCAGAGCUCAAGGGUGUGAUUAUAAUUAUCUUCAAGUUAAAUUUCAUUCUAGUUUAGGAAAUAAUACAAUUUUUCUGUCAUUAUUCCAGCAUUACAAAAAUUUGUUGAGAUAUAGAUUUUCUUGUUUUGACAGGUCCUGUAAAUUGUUUUUUUUUUGUUUGAUGAUCUACUCGUUCCUUUGCUUUACAUUUAUCAUAAGAUUGAAAUCUCUUGUUGCUACUUCAAUGUCAGAUAUUCUCUCUAUGGGCCGUAAGUGAUAAAAGUUAUGGUGGAUUGAGCUUUUCAAGUCAGGAUGUUGGUGAGGUGCUUGCAAUCUCAGGUAGUAUAUGAUGGUGCUUUCAUUUGACUUAUAAUUCGAAAGUAUGUUCUUGGUGUUUUGGUGUUCCCUAUUGGUUCUUAAUGAAUAAGUCGACUUUACUGUUGCAUCUGACAAACAUUGUCAUAAUUCUCACUUCAAUUUGACGAGGAAAACAUUGAAGCUAGUAGUAAAUCACCAAAUUGCAGGAUACUCAAGUAAUAGGCUCAGGUGUAGACUUGGAGCUCCAAUGAAGAGGCAGAUGAGCAGUACAGAGAAGUCUUAGUGGAUAAUGCAUGGAGAAGUCAAAUAAUAGACAAAGUGAGGCACACUGGAAAGAAGAGGUCAAUGUUCAAAUGAUGUGCAAAAUGCCACACAGAGAGAAAGUAAAGAAGAAAGUGGUCAACAGCUAGCUAUUUUCAGUAGGACACAUGCCACUAAUAAGCUCCAAUGGAGUAUUGCUAAUAUGCAUAUUAUGCAAUUGUGUACAUCUGAUCAUAACAGGGCUAUGACAUAAGUACCCUUCUGCAUAGGUGUUCACCUCAAAUCUAGGAAACAAUUAGAAGGGAUCUGAAUCAUCUGAUAAUAGAGAUUACUUAUCAGAUUGAUGAUGGUGGCAUUAUCAUCUUUUGUUACAGUCAUGGUCAUUUUGAAAGAAAAGAGAACUUCUCAUGCCAUGAGUGGUAUUGAGUCAAGAGAGAAGAAUCUUGGAAAUGUUAAUGAAUCCAACAUUAACAUGGGGCAGCCUGCAAACAGCCCAAAACUAGGCCUAGAGAAUGUUCAACCCCAUAAGUAACAUGAUUGAAACAGUGAAUCUUAUGAGAUGACUAUGGAGGGUUGGCUGGGGGCUUCAUAAAUCUCCUUAAAUAAUUCAUUAUGAAGAAAAGUAUUCUUCAUGUUCUUUUGUAAAAAUAUACAAUACCAAGUAGCUCAAACUAUUAUCAUAUUCCAACAACAAUCUUCUUCCUCAAUGCAAGGGUCUUGCAGGAGUCCAUGCCAUAUUUAUGAAACUGAUAGCAACAUGCCUUCCUGGAAGAAUGAAUGGGUUAAUUGGUUUUCCAUCUUUUGUACCAAAAAACAAGAAGCUAUACAGUCAUACUUGUUAAGGAGCUCUAUAUUCUUUCUGCAAGAUUGUUUCUUCCUAACUGGACAUAGGUAUAUGAAAAGUAGUCCCAUAACUCUUCAAACUACUUAAAAUAUCCAAUUAUUUUCAAUUAAGAUUUCAUCAAAGGCUGUUCUCUAUGCCAUCCCAUGUAAUGCACUUCUUCUAAUACCUAAUGGCUGCUAGUAAUUUUUGAUUUUGUGAGAUCUGUUAAAUUGUCUUUUUUGAAAGAUGUCUCUCACUUUUAUCAGGUUCCAGCUUAGUGAUUUUGAUAUGAAGUUUGGUGGGUCUAUUGCCUUGCUAACUUAGUCCCCAAUCCCAAUUUUCUGGUUAUUUACGUAAAUGGUGGAUUAUGACAGAUUAUUAGUUUUUGAAAAAUGCAAAUAAUUCAUUAAUAUGAUAUCUUAAUGUAGUAUUUCUCAUGUCUUCAUUAUUCAUGCUAUAGAAAAUACCAAUGUAGGGACUGCACAUGAAAACCAGACAUCGCAAUUGUGAAAUGCUCCAAAAUAGAUUAACUUGG
Molecule: long non-coding RNA, 40266 nt
Filed under: Phoenix dactylifera (date palm)
Lineage: Eukaryota; Viridiplantae; Streptophyta; Magnoliopsida; Arecales; Arecaceae
Description: long non-coding RNA (PDAC_LNC002905)
Source: RNAcentral